RNAcentral lists this ribosomal RNA (468 nucleotides) under uncultured bacterium. RNAcentral's name for it is "partial 16S ribosomal RNA". It matches the Rfam family "Bacterial small subunit ribosomal RNA", at positions 28 to 507 of the family's 1533-position model. The record is from RNAcentral.
GACGAACGCUGGCGGCGUGCUUAACACAUGCAAGUCGAACGGAAAGGCCCUGCUGUUGUGGGGUGCUCGAGUGGCGAACGGGUGAGUAACAAGUGAGUAACCUGCCCUUGACUUUGGGAUAACUUCAGGAAACUGGGGCUAAUACCGGAUAGGAGCUCCUGCUUCAUGGUGGGGGUUGGAAAGUUUCGGCGGUUGGGGAUGGACUCGCGGCUUAUCAGCUUGUUGGUGGGGUAGUGGCUUACCAAGGCUUUGACGGGUAGCCGGCCUGAGAGGGUGACCGGCCACAUUGGGACUGAGAUACGGCCCAGACUCCUACGGGAGGCAGCAGUGGAGAAUAUUGCACAAUGGGCGGAAGCCUGAUGCAGCAACGCCGCGUGCGGGAUGACGGCCUUCGGGUUGUAAACCGCUUUCGCCUGUGACGAAGCGUGAGUGACGGUAAUGGGUAAAGAAGCACCGGCUAACUACGUG